ACCUCGGAUAGUAUGAUGCCA
This 21-nucleotide ribosomal RNA is filed under the name Ophiocordyceps sinensis. Its description in RNAcentral is "partial 28S ribosomal RNA". The record is from RNAcentral. Lineage: Eukaryota; Fungi; Ascomycota; Sordariomycetes; Hypocreales; Ophiocordycipitaceae.